Molecule: ribosomal RNA, 804 nt
Filed under: uncultured archaeon ACA4-0cm
Lineage: Archaea
Description: bacterial SSU rRNA
Rfam family: Archaeal small subunit ribosomal RNA
Source: RNAcentral
AUUGUAGCAAUACAAGGCGGACGGCUCAGUAACACGUAGCCAACCUACCCUAUGGACGGGGAUAACCUCGGGAAACUGAGGAUAAACCCCGAUAGAUCAUUAUACCUGGAACGGUUUAUGGUCCAAAUGAUUCGUCGCCGUAGGAUGGGACUGCGGCCUAUCAGCUUGUUGGUGAGGUAAUGGCCCACCAAGGCUAUUACAGGUACGGGCUCUGAGAGGAGAAGCCCGGAGAUGGGUACUGAGACACGGACCCAGGCCCUAUGGGGCGCAGCAGGCGAGAAAACUUUGCAAUGUGCGCAAGCACGACAAGGUUAAUCCGAGUGUUUCCUGCUAAAGGAAACUUUUGCUAGUCCUAAAAACACUAGCGAAUAAGGGGUGGGCAAGUUUCUGGUGUCAGCCGCCGCGGUAAAACCAGCACCUCAAGUGGUCAGGAGGAUUAUUGGGCCUAAAGCAUCCGUAGCCUGCUUUGUAAGUUUCCGGUUAAAUCCAUUAGCUCAACUGAUGGGCCGCCGGAAAAACUGCAAAGCUAGGGAGUGGGAGAGGUAGACGGUACUCGGUAGGAAGGGGUAAAAUCCUUUGAUCUAUCGAUGACCACCAGUGGCGAAGGCGGUCUACCAGAACACGUUCGACGGUGAGGGAUGAAAGCUGGGGGAGCAAACCGGAUUAGAUACCCGGGUAGUCCCAGCUGUAAACGAUGCAGACUCGGUGAUGCCCUGGCUUGUGGCCAGUGCAGUGCCGCAGGGAAGCCGUUAAGUUUGCCGCCUGGGAAGUACGUACGCAAGUAUGAAACUCAAAUGAAUUGAC